This 261-nucleotide long non-coding RNA is filed under the name Gallus gallus (chicken). The record is from RNAcentral. Lineage: Eukaryota; Metazoa; Chordata; Aves; Galliformes; Phasianidae.
AGCAGUCGGACUUUGUCCAACAGCACAGAAUUGGAUCUGAGGCCCCUUUUCCCCUGCCUGCUCCCACCAUCCCCCGUGAAGCCCAACCAUCUGCUGCAUGUGUUGACAGAGCUGCUGUCAUGCGUGGCACCAGUUCUUCAGGUUGACUAGCUUUCAGCUGAAAAAAAUGGUAUCUCAGUGAACCGAUGCUAUUCCUUGGCAUUUUCACUCUGCAUGCACUGCAAAGACAACCUACGGCAAUAAACAAAUAUAUGAAACACA